Molecule: ribosomal RNA, 900 nt
Filed under: Triticum aestivum (bread wheat)
Lineage: Eukaryota; Viridiplantae; Streptophyta; Magnoliopsida; Poales; Poaceae
Description: partial small subunit ribosomal RNA
Source: RNAcentral
AUGGCGGAGCCGUACGACCUCAUCCACCACGCCGUCGAGUUCUACGCCGGCGUUACAUCCUUUUACUUCGCGGCUACGACGGGGUGUGCGGCCCUUCUCGUCUUCGACUCCAACGAGGACCGUGAGCUGACCAUGACUCACUUCCCCGCCAAGUUCGCCGGCGUCACCAUCACUCUCCUCUGUCCGGAGGAGACCGACAACCGGGCCACCACGCGCUACGACCACUUGGUGGAGAUCGAGGCCAAGAACUUCCCGCUCGAGCUGUGGCACCCCCAAGGCGCCAACUUCGUGUUCGGCCACUUUGGGGUGCUCUGCUGCGUCGACAGCCGCUGCCUCAACGCCGGCGACUUCACGGCGAUGCGCGCCUUUCUCCGCGUUGAGAGUGACCAUGUCACCCCGGAUGGGUGCAUCCUUCGCCUUCCGCCAGCCCAAAUCGUCGACGUCAAGCUCCGUGUUGUCAAGACUUGGGCCGUCUUUGAGGACCUCACCAUCUCCCUCGACCACGACGUGGACGGCAACGGCAGUGAAGCUCACGUCCACGGUGCCUGGCGGUGGAACUGCAGCCAUGUUGGGCCUUGCUCUGGCCCACACGCUGCAGUUUCCAUGCAGCCACCAACAACAACUGCUGGGCCGUCCUCGCCUCCUCAAGCUCAAGCCACGCAAGCCCCUCGCAACUUUCUCCAACCUCUCGUCGGCGGUCCUCUGUUGCCACCGGCUGCGGCCCCUGCUGAUGCGCUCGUGCUGUCCGACGACAGUGAAGGCAUUGAGGGCGCCGCCCAGGACCCUGACCUCUCCGGCACCCUCACGCCAUCAGUCGAUGUCUCCAACUCCUCCGCGCUCGAUUUAGAUGGUGGAGACCUCGCUUCUCUCGGUCAAGGAUUCUACCUCGCUUGGGUCUGA